RNAcentral lists this unclassified non-coding RNA (290 nucleotides) under Hevea brasiliensis (rubber tree). Lineage: Eukaryota; Viridiplantae; Streptophyta; Magnoliopsida; Malpighiales; Euphorbiaceae. The record is from RNAcentral.
AGGCAAGAUAAGCUGAAGGUGGCUUCAUCUUGGAAUUUGGGCAGGUCAAAAAUAGUUGUAGGUGGGCCUAAUGUAAGAAAAUCUCCACCUGAAACCCCAUUUUGCUUUCAUGAUUUUCUUGGAAUUAUGCUUGGCCCCUGAAAUUGAAUCAGAACAUGAAGGGUCUUCUCUGAAAACACACAAAAACUUUAAUAAUUAGCAAACACUGACAAACAAGACCCCAUUAUGAUUAUUCUUUUAUAUAUACAGAGAAUUGAGCUACACAUUGGGAGUACUUCGUUCCUCAUUUU